CAAUAGCGUAUAUUAAAGUUGUUGCAGUUAAAAAGCUCGUAGUUGGAUUUCUGGUGGGAGCGAUCGGUCUGGCGCUUAGCGCGAGUACUUGCAUCGUCUCCGGCCAUCCUUGGGGAGAGUCUGUCUGGCAUUAGGUUGUCGGGCAGAGGAUCCUCAUCGUUUACUGUGAAAAAAUUAGAGUGUUCAAAGCAGGCUUAUGCCGUUGAAUAUAUUAGCAUGGAAUAAUAAGAUAGGACUUAGGUACUAUUUUGUUGGUUUGCGCACCAAAGUAAUGAUUAAUAGGGACAGUUGGGGGUAUUCGUAUUCCGUUGUCAGAGGUGAAAUUCUUGGAUUUACGGAAGACGAACUACUGCGAAAGCAUUUACCAAGGAUGUUUUCAUUAA
Molecule: ribosomal RNA, 383 nt
Filed under: uncultured eukaryote
Lineage: Eukaryota
Description: partial 18S ribosomal RNA
Rfam family: Eukaryotic small subunit ribosomal RNA
Source: RNAcentral